RNAcentral lists this ribosomal RNA (496 nucleotides) under uncultured bacterium. RNAcentral describes it as "partial 16S ribosomal RNA". It matches the Rfam family "Bacterial small subunit ribosomal RNA", at positions 28 to 506 of the family's 1533-position model. The record is from RNAcentral.
GAUGAACGCUGGCGGCGUGCCUAAUACAUGCAAGUCGAGCGAACAGAUGAGGAGCUUGCUCCUCUGACGUUAGCGGCGGACGGGUGAGUAACACGUGGAUAACCUACCUAUAAGACUGGGAUAACUUCGGGAAACCGGAGCUAAUACCGGAUAAUAUAUUGAACCGCAUGGUUCAAUAGUGAAAGACGGUUUUGCUGUCACUUAUAGAUGGAUCCGCGCCGCAUUAGCUAGUUGGUAAGGUAACGGCUUACCAAGGCGACGAUGCGUAGCCGACCUGAGAGGGUGAUCGGCCACACUGGAACUGAGACACGGUCCAGACUCCUACGGGAGGCAGCAGUAGGGAAUCUUCCGCAAUGGGCGAAAGCCUGGCGGAGCAACGCCGCGUGAGUGAUGAAGGUCUUCGGAUCGUAAAACUCUGUUAUUAGGGAAGAACAAAUGUGUAAGUAACUAUGCACGUCUGGACGGUACCUAAUCAGAAAACCACGGCUAACUACGU